GCGGACGUAGUCCAAUGGUCAGGGCCUCAGCCUUCCAAGCUGAAGAUGCGGGUUCGAUUCCCGUCGUCCGCU
RNAcentral lists this transfer RNA (72 nucleotides) under Actinomycetes bacterium. Its description in RNAcentral is "tRNA-Gly". It matches the Rfam family "tRNA". Rfam says of the family: Transfer RNA (tRNA) molecules are approximately 80 nucleotides in length. Their secondary structure includes four short double-helical elements and three loops (D, anti-codon, and T loops). Lineage: Bacteria; Bacillati; Actinomycetota; Actinomycetes. The record is from RNAcentral. RNAcentral also lists the same sequence under 1 other name.